UCUUUUCAUGAUUUCUUAGCAUUUUACAUCUUGUGGUCCUCUUGCCUUGACGUCAAUGAAGAUAAAGCUUUAGCCAAAUAAAGGUUACAAUAACAGUGAGGCCAUAGCCAAAAAGCUCAGCUUUUUCGUCCUGUAUAUUUAACCGAAGUCACUUAUUUACAGAAACACUGCUUACCUGUCAACCUCUAUAUAAAUACAAUCAUAAAUGUAAAAUGCUAAGAAAUCAUGAAAAGACCUCCUCUAUCAACUCACUGACAAGAAACUUCUCUAUGUCACUUAAAGCUUGCUCAAGUUCCUGCACAGAGAAUCCAUUUCUCCAACCCAAAUCCCAUAUUCCACUCACCACUCCUUUGCACCUCAUAUCUUUCUCAAAUGUUGCAUACAAACUAUCUGUAAGAAGGUGGUCGCAAGCAAGCUUUUGGUAGCUCCUAAGAGUUUCAAUUCCUCUACAAAUUUCCUCUACCAACUGAUCUAGAGAGAGAGAAAUUCUUGAAUCUCCCAUAUAAGAUAAUGGAAGAUGCCUUGUUUGUGAAUCAGGAAGGCU
This 544-nucleotide unclassified non-coding RNA is filed under the name Hevea brasiliensis (rubber tree). The record is from RNAcentral. Lineage: Eukaryota; Viridiplantae; Streptophyta; Magnoliopsida; Malpighiales; Euphorbiaceae.